RNAcentral lists this ribosomal RNA (55 nucleotides) under Treponema sp. Its description in RNAcentral is "partial 16S ribosomal RNA". It matches the Rfam family "Bacterial small subunit ribosomal RNA", at positions 1479 to 1533 of the family's 1533-position model. The record is from RNAcentral. Lineage: Bacteria; Pseudomonadati; Spirochaetota; Spirochaetia; Treponematales; Treponemataceae.
GGUGAAGUCGUAACAAGGUAGUCGUACUGGAAAGUGCGGCUGGAUCACCUCCUUU